Molecule: small RNA, 105 nt
Filed under: Marmota monax (woodchuck)
Lineage: Eukaryota; Metazoa; Chordata; Mammalia; Rodentia; Sciuridae
Source: RNAcentral
ACCAGGCAUGGUGGUCCACGCCUGUAAUCCUAGCCACUCGGGAGGCUGAGGCAGGAGGACCACAAGUUCAAAGCCAGCCUCAGCAAUGGUGAGACCCUGUCUCUA